GAUAUUUUAUCAGUGAUAUUUAAUAAUCAUCAAUUUACAAGAUUGAUAAUAUAAUAUACAAGAUAAAAAUAUACAAAUGCAUUUAAAAUGGCAAGAAUUGCUUAUGAAUGUAAUCAAGUUAAUACAAAUAAUAUAACAAAUACAGCUGGAACAUUAAGACCAUUUUCUUGUACAGAUAAAUCAUGUCUUUAUUGUUGUUGUAAUGCACAAUGUUGUCUUCUUAUACAACGUAAACCACCAAAACAUUUUUGGGAAGCUUGGUAUUUUUGGCUUGGUGUUGCUAUAUUAAUACUAUUCAUCAUUUCUUCUGUAAGCAAUUAUUUACUGGUGAAUUAUCGUCAAAGCUGGAUGACACUACCAUUUGUAUCUGGUCAAUCAAUUGGUGAUAAUAAUCAUCGUGUUGAUGAUAAUAAUAUUUCAAUUCAUGUUAUUCCAAUACCAACAACUGAUGUUACAUCAACAACCAACAAGAAAUUAUUUCUCUAUCCACCAGAAUCAAGUGUUUCACAUAUGAAUACUUUGGAAUGUCUUCUUACUCAUCCGUUUUCUUCCUCUUUAUUCAUCUCCUCCAAUAAUGUUCUCCCAUCAGGCAUAUGGUUAAUAUUGCAAACAAAAAAAAAAAAUAUAAAUAUAUAUAAAAAGUUGUUCUUAAUUUUCUUCAUCUUUAUCAUUUUUUUAAACCCGUUUUUCUCUCUUUAAUUCUCUCUUUCCUCCUCAAUUUUUAUAAACAGAGGAUCCAGAUGGGCGUAACUCCCAUUAACAAUUAAGAAGACAUGUCCGAAGGGGCCUUUUGAGUGAGUCGGAAGAUAGGACCAUGUGGAUCUGGUGGACCCUCUGUCCAUAGUUCAUGAACUUUGUUCGUUGAAUUUUUUUUUUUUUUUUUGUUAUCUAAAU
RNA transcript from Aphidius gifuensis, 894 nucleotides. RefSeq lists it as uncharacterized. The record is from RefSeq and is a predicted model, not a curated record. The transcript has 4 exons. Lineage: Eukaryota; Metazoa; Arthropoda; Insecta; Hymenoptera; Braconidae.